This 440-nucleotide ribosomal RNA is filed under the name uncultured bacterium. RNAcentral's name for it is "partial 16S ribosomal RNA". It matches the Rfam family "Bacterial small subunit ribosomal RNA", at positions 338 to 795 of the family's 1533-position model. The record is from RNAcentral.
CCUACGGGUGGCAGCAGUGGGGAAUAUUGCACAAUGGGGGAAACACUGAUGCAGCGACGCCGCGUGAGUGAAGAAGGGCCUCGGCGCGUAAAGCUCUGUCAGCAGGGACGAUAAUGACGGUACCUGAAGAAGAAUCCGCGGGUAACUACGUGCCAGCAGCCGAGGUAAUACGUAGGGGGCAAGCGUUAUCCGGAUUUACUGGGUGUAAAGGGAGCGUAGACGGCGGGGCAAGUCUGGAGUGAAAGGCCUGGGCCCAACCCCGGGAACGCUUUUGAAACUGCCCGGCUGGAGUGCGGGAGAGGUAAGCGGAAUUCCUAGUGGAGCGGUGAAAUGCGUAGAUAUGAGGAGGAACACCAGUGGCGAAGGCGGCGUACUGGCCCGUGACUGACGUUGAGGCUCGAAAGCGUGGGGAGCAAACAGGAUUAGAUACCCCUGUAGUC